This 468-nucleotide ribosomal RNA is filed under the name uncultured bacterium. RNAcentral's name for it is "partial 16S ribosomal RNA". It matches the Rfam family "Bacterial small subunit ribosomal RNA", at positions 28 to 507 of the family's 1533-position model. The record is from RNAcentral.
GACGAACGCUGGCGGCGUGCUUAACACAUGCAAGUCGAACGGAAAGGCCCUGCUUUUGUGGGGUGCUCGAGUGGCGAACGGGUGAGUAACACGUGAGUAACCUGCCCUUGACUUUGGGAUAACUUCAGGAAACUGGGGCUAAUACCGGAUAGGAGCUCCUGCUGCAUGGUGGGGGUUGGAAAGUUUCGGCGGUUGGGGAUGGACUCGCGGCUUAUCAGCUUGUUGGUGGGGUAGUGGCUUACCAAGGCUUUGACGGGUAGCCGGCCUGAGAGGGUGACCGGGCACAUUGGGACUGAGAUACGGCCCAGACUCCUACGGGAGGCAGCAGUGGGAAAUAUUGCACAAUGGGCGGAAGCCUGAUGCAGCAACGCCGCGUGCGGGAUGACGGCCUUCGGGUUGUAAACCGCUUUCGCCUGUGACGAAGCGUGAGUGACGGUAAUGGGUAAAGAAGCACCGGCUAACUACGUG